AAUAAUAUGCAUUUUGUAAAACAGGCCAAUAGGUUGUGUUUGAAAAACUAGGUAUUAAGUAUGCAUCAAAAGGGUGAGAUUGGACUUGCCGUCUUCAAAGCCUUCCGGGAGUUCCGGCUCGCGGUACUGGUCCUCGGGCUCGGGCUCGCGGUCAAACUCUUCCUCGGGCUCCUCCUCGGGCAAUCCGCGAUCUACGGCACACACAAACAGGCAC
Molecule: long non-coding RNA, 214 nt
Filed under: Setaria italica (foxtail millet)
Lineage: Eukaryota; Viridiplantae; Streptophyta; Magnoliopsida; Poales; Poaceae
Description: long non-coding RNA (SITA_LNC000674)
Source: RNAcentral